GAGAAGAUUUGUAAGUAGAGGUGACAUGCCUAACGAGCCUGGUGAUAGCUGGUUGUCCCAGAAAAUGAAUCUAAGUUCAGCUUUAAAGAUACCAAAAUUCAAAUAAACCCCACUGUAGCUUUAAAAGUUAGUCUAAAAAGGUACAGCCUUUUAGAAACGGAUACAACCUUGACUAGAGAGUAAAAUUUAACACUACCAUAGUAGGCCUAAAAGCAGCCAUCAAUUAAGAAAGCGUUAAAGCUCAACAACAAAAUUAAAUAGAUUCCAACACAAAUGAUUAACUCCUAGCCCCAAUACUGGACUAAUCUAUUAUAGAAUAGAAGCAAUAAUGUUAAUAUGAGUAACAAGAAAAAUUUUCUCCUUGCAUAAGUCUAAGUCAGUGCCUGAUAAUACUCUGACCACUAACAGUCAAUAAAAAUAAUCCAACAAUAAACAAUUUAUUGAUUAUACUGUUAACCCAACACAGGAGUGCAUCUAAGGAAAGAUU
RNAcentral lists this ribosomal RNA (487 nucleotides) under Bos taurus (domestic cattle). RNAcentral describes it as "similar to 16S ribosomal RNA". Lineage: Eukaryota; Metazoa; Chordata; Mammalia; Artiodactyla; Bovidae. The record is from RNAcentral.